Molecule: long non-coding RNA, 215 nt
Organism: Phascolarctos cinereus (koala)
Lineage: Eukaryota; Metazoa; Chordata; Mammalia; Diprotodontia; Phascolarctidae
Source: RefSeq, a predicted model, not a curated record
CGCCCUGGACCGCCCACCGUGAUGGAAGAGAGAGGUGGGGAGAGGGAGGCAGAGAGAAACCGCUUUUUCUGUAUUCUAUGACAUAGACACAGGGCAGGAGACUGAGAGUCAGCGCUUCAAGCAAAGGAGUAUCUACAUUAAAAAAGUAUCAAGUGAAAAAAAAAAUUGAUGAGCAAGAUGCCUGCAGAAAAACCUGAGAAAAUGAUCAACUGUGA